This 72-nucleotide transfer RNA is filed under the name Bos taurus (domestic cattle). It matches the Rfam family "tRNA". From Rfam's summary of the family: Transfer RNA (tRNA) molecules are approximately 80 nucleotides in length. Their secondary structure includes four short double-helical elements and three loops (D, anti-codon, and T loops). The record is from Rfam by way of RNAcentral. Lineage: Eukaryota; Metazoa; Chordata; Mammalia; Artiodactyla; Bovidae. RNAcentral also lists the same sequence under 2 other names.
UCCCUGGUGGUCCAGCGUUAAGACUCUGUGCUUCCACUGCAGGGGACACAGGUUCGAUCCCUGGUCAGGGAA